Molecule: ribosomal RNA, 573 nt
Filed under: uncultured eukaryote
Lineage: Eukaryota
Description: SSU rRNA
Rfam family: Eukaryotic small subunit ribosomal RNA
Source: RNAcentral
CUGGUUGAUUCUGCCAGUUGUCACAUGCUUGUCUCAAAGAUUAAGCCAUGCAUGUCUAAGUACACACUGUGGCACAGUGAAACCGCGAAUGGCUCAUUAAAUCAGUUAUGGUUUAUUAGAUCGUGCGUUCUACGUGGAUAACUGUGGUAAUUCUAGAGCUAAUACAUGCAACUAGCCCUGACUUACGGAGGGGCGCUUUUAUUAGAUCAAAAUCAAUCGGGUUCGCCCGUUUUUGUGAUGACUCUGGAUAACUUUUGCCGACCGCAUGGCCUUGCGCUGGCGGCGUAUCUUUCAAAUGUCUGCCCUAUCAACUUUCGAUGGUAGGUGAUCUGCCUACCAUGGUUGUAACGGGUAACGGAGAAUCAGGGUUCGAUUCCGGAGAGGGAGCCUGAGAAACGGCUACCACAUCCAAGGAAGGCAGCAGGCGCGCAAAUUACCCACUCCCGGCACGGGGAGGUAGUGACGAAAAAUAACAAUGCUGGGCUUCAAGUCCGGUAAUUGGAAUGAGUACACUUUAAAUCCUUUAACGAGGAUCUAGUGGAGGGCAAGUCUGGUGCCAGCAGCCGCGGUAAU